RNAcentral lists this long non-coding RNA (1318 nucleotides) under Anser brachyrhynchus (Pink-footed goose). RNAcentral's name for it is "lncRNA (ENSABRG00000001037.1)". Lineage: Eukaryota; Metazoa; Chordata; Aves; Anseriformes; Anatidae. The record is from RNAcentral.
ACAAAACAUUAUCUACUGCCAUUUCUAUUUUAUUUUGCUAUUUAUAAAGUUAAUAUUUUUUCACAUUUUUUCAUGUCCCCAUAAAUCACAUGCAGUAGCUGUUAAUUGUGAAGUAACUCAGAAUAUUAAUGAGCACUGCAGAAAGAGAGUGGUAAAUUCAGGAGUCCUAUUGCUGGUUCAAAACACCGGAUGCUUAAAUACAUGUGGGGCUUACAUUUGCUCAUGAAUUGACAGCUUGUGAGGAAAAUAUGAGAACAAAGAGGACGGUCCUUAAGAAUUUGCUGUGCUAUGGAGGACAUAAGCAUACAUUAUGUGUACCAGACCACUCGACAGUCUCAGCAUGUCUUUAAGACCAGCUGGACAUCUUCAAUGCAGUGAAAGCUUACAGUUGCGUAAGAAUGGCAUGGUGUGCUGUGAGGCACUAGAAGAAGCACUAGAGAGCAAUGUGUUUGACCGCUACCCUUUAAGCAUUUGAAACUUUGAUUCAAACCUUGACAUGAACUUCAGAUGAAGAUAAGUAAAUACUGCAUCUUUCAUCCUAAAGUUUUCACUGAUGCUCAUCAUGGAGGCGUCCAUUGUAACAGCUGAUGUAAUUGUGUAUUUCCUCCUCUGAUAAGGACCACAGAAACAAAAUAGGGGGGGGGUUGAUGGUUAAGAAAGAAAUGUACUUCUCAAAGUUAGUGCACAAAAAGGCUCACAAAAGCAGAGAUUUGUUCAGGUUGGGAAUGGUGCAUUUUCAGAUCAGUGAGUAAAAGCUUGGGCAGAAGCUGAUCGGAAAAAACGAGCCCAUAGAUUCCAUGAAAUGAGCUGCUGGAGUCGUUGUCACAGUUCCAGGUCCAGUUUGGCACCCACCGUGGCUGCACCUGCUGGUGCCAUUUUGUUGACAGGUACAAAUCACCAGCCAUCAAGGAGAAAACCAUGAAACAGACAACAACUGGCUCUGAUGGUAUGAAGUAAUUAGCUAGCCCAGAGCUCUAGGCAGCAGUAUCUAAAAGGAAGCAGGUGGACCACCAGGGAAGCCUCUACGUUUGCUGUUUUGUUUGUUUUUCUCUCUGAGUACAGCAGUAGCCAAACAACGCAAAGACAUUUUGCAAAGUGCUUGCAAGAGAGAGCCUCCCAAGGGUCUGACAAACCCAUUGCGCUCUCUUCUUAUUUAACACACAUCUUUCAAAGAUCUACUCUCCUUCACGGAGUUUUUCCACUUGUAUUCUGAAAUCUGAUAUAGUUUUUCAUAUUACAUGAAUAUACUGAUUGUAAACUGAGAAAGAUGGAGUUCAUGUGUGAUGCUGAGCAAUGUGAGCGUUAGUUUGGUGAUUUG